Cyprinus carpio (common carp) is the source of this 1645-nucleotide long non-coding RNA. NCBI's taxonomy places the organism in Eukaryota, Metazoa, Chordata, Actinopteri, Cypriniformes, Cyprinidae. The record is from Ensembl.
GUCAUCUCAUGAUGUUCAGGGUCUUGCUGCUCCUGUUUGCCGUGGCUGGUCUCCAUGCAAGACCACUGCACCGAUUCCCAAAUGGUAAAUUAAAACCAAUUGGGCCACAAAUGGUCCAAGAUGAACACAGGGAUAGCUCAGUUCUGAAGCACAUGAACACUGAUGUGAAACCCAAGAAGCAACUACCAGUUCCCGCUGAGUUCUGCAGACAGGGAACAGAACCUUCCAGACGCUUCCUGAUGGACCUGAACACUGGGAUGCUCAAGCGUGGAGUUGGCAAAGUGAACGGAAAAGUUUCAAGAUUGGAUGAGCUCAAACAAGGCACUGAGAACCAGCUGCACACCCUGCAAGAGCUCAGAAUGCGUCCCAUGAUGAGAUCGCAGUACAUCGCUCAGAGCGAAAAACACGAGCAGAGAGCGAUCCCUGCCGAGGUGUACAGAAAAGGCACUGAAACUUCCAGAAAUGUCCUGAUGGACCUGAACACCGGUCUGCUCAAAGAACACAUGAACAAGAUGGACAGGAGAGUAGUGGCAGCUAAAUGGGAAGUGGUUUCUGAGCAUGAGGAUAUAAGAAGCCAAGACUCUUCUGAACAUAAGGAGAACCACAAAGCAGUUCCUGUUGAGAUCCGCAGACAGGGAACAGAACCUUCCAGACGCAUCCUGAUUGACUUGAACACUGGGAUGCCCAAGGAGGAACUCAGCGAAAUGAACAGAAGAGUUUCUGGCUUCUACAAUCCAGCAGCUAUUGAGAAGAGGCAAGGAACAGAACCUUCCAGACGCUUCCUGAUGGACAUGGACACUGGGAUGCUCAAGCACGAAGUUAGCGAAAUGAACAGAAGAGUUUCCGGCUUCUACAAUCCUCCAGCUUAUGAGAUGAGGAAGGGAACACAGAAUUCUCGCGCUACUCUGGUGGAUCCCAGAACUGGACAACUGCUGGAAUCUCUAACAGAGCUAAAGAGGAGCGCAGCGCCAUUGGAUGAGUUCAGACAAGGCACUGAGUACCAGCCGUACAUCCUACAGAAGCUCAGACUGAACAAACAAGACACUGAACCUUCCAGAAACCUCCUGAUGGACCUGAACGCCGGCCUACUCGAACACCAAAAUAAGAUGGACUCUUCUGAACAUAAGGAGAACCACAAAGCAGUUCCUGUUGAGAUCCGUAGGCAAGGAACAGAACCUUCCAGACGCAUCCUGAUUGACACAAACACUGGUAUGCCCAAGGAGGAACUCAGCGAAAUGAACAGAAGAGUUUCCGGCUUCUACAAUCCUCCAGCUUAUGAGAUGAGGAAGGGAACCCAGAAUUCUCGCGCCACUCUGGUGGAUCCCAGAACUGGACAACGGCUGGAAUCUCUAACAGAGCUCCAGAGGAACGCAGCGCCAUUGGAUGAGUUCAGACAAGGCACUGAGUACCAGCCGCACACCCUGCAGGAGCUCAGGAUGCAUGACAUUGUUAGACCAAAGUAAAGCGCUUAAAACGUGUACGAAAGUCACCGUGUUUAGAAUUGAUGAGGCCUGGUGGACAACGUUUGGCUGUGUUCGUACCCUAUGACUGCAUGAAGACCAUCUCAGAACAUCUAGUUGACUGUACUGUUGUAUUCAGAGGUUUCAUGCAAUAAAAGUGUCAUGCGAUAUUUGGAAUGACUGCA